This 433-nucleotide ribosomal RNA is filed under the name uncultured bacterium. Its description in RNAcentral is "partial 16S ribosomal RNA". It matches the Rfam family "Bacterial small subunit ribosomal RNA", at positions 29 to 507 of the family's 1533-position model. The record is from RNAcentral.
AACGAACGCUGGCGGCAUGCCUAACACAUGCAAGUCGAACGAGACCUUCGGGUCUAGUGGCGCACGGGUGCGUAACGCGUGGGAACCUGCCCUUAGGUUCGGAAUAACUCCCCGAAAGGGGUGCUAAUACCGGAUAAUGUCUUCGGACCAAAGAUUUAUCGCCUUUGGAUGGGUCCGCGUUGGAUUAGCUAGUUGGUAGGGUAAAAGCCUACCAAGGCGACGAUCCAUAGCUGGUCUGAGAGGAUGAUCAGCCACACUGGGACUGAGACACGGCGCAGACUCCUACGGGAGGCAGCAGUGGGGAAUAUUGGACAAUGGGCGAGAGCCUGAUCCAGCAAUGCCGCGUGAGUGAUGAAGGCCUUAGGGUUGUAAAGCUCUUUUACCCGGGAUGAUAAUGACAGUACCGGGAGAAUAAGCUCCGGCUAACUCCGUG